UACAGAGGGGGCAAGCGUUGUUCGGAAUUACUGGGCGUAAAGGGCGCGUAGGCGGCCUGCUAAGUCGAACGUGAAAUCCCUGGGCUCAACCCAGGAACUGCGUCCGAUACUGGUUGGCUUGAAUUCGGGAGAGGGAUGCAGAAUUCCAGGUGUAGCGGUGAAAUGCGUAGAUAUCUGGAGGAAUACCGGUGGCGAAGGCGGCAUCCUGGACCGACAUUGACGCUGAGGCGCGAAAGCUAGGGGAGCAAACGGG
Molecule: ribosomal RNA, 253 nt
Filed under: uncultured bacterium
Lineage: Bacteria
Description: partial 16S ribosomal RNA
Rfam family: Bacterial small subunit ribosomal RNA
Source: RNAcentral